Molecule: long non-coding RNA, 1647 nt
Filed under: Mytilus galloprovincialis (Mediterranean mussel)
Lineage: Eukaryota; Metazoa; Mollusca; Bivalvia; Mytilida; Mytilidae
Source: RNAcentral
UUAUCCUUUAUGACUUGAUUUAGUAUAUAAUUUACGUAUUGAGUAAUGUUACUCAUACAUAUUCAUGGGGGUUGAAAUUGAACUCUUGUUUUGAUUGGUUCUUGGUUAUUGGCGGUUAAAUUGAGUUUUCCUUUGUGUACCUUGGGUAGAAUUUACCUGGACACUGGUCAGUGAAAGACGUCCAUUAUUUACCCAGACUAUUAUAGCAGAAACCCAUAUUGACAGAUUGUAUAUUGACUAUAUUCAGCUUUACAGUUUUCCAGACAUGACUAGUAAGUUGCACUUUCUUCUUUAUUAACAUUUUGACACGAAUUAAUAGAUUUGGUUAACUUUCCUAUUUUCGAGUAAAUACUCUUCAGAUUGCAUGUUUAUAACAUCGGAAUGAAAGAUUUGAAUGAGCGUAUUUUUGGUAAAGAAGCUAGGUCAUAUUUUUAUAAAGUAAUGUAAUAUUUGCCGCUGAUCAUAGCGUAAUUAUGUAAUGUUUAGAGAUAUCGUAAUAACAGUAUUUUACGAAUACUGCAUGUAGAAAAAUGGCGGCAUGUAUGAUAAGUUACAGUAUAUUGUGAAAAGAAUAUUCGAGUUACAUAUUGUGUAAUGCUAUUUUUAUAUGGACGAAUUGAAUACAAUUGUCAUGUGAUUAGUAUUUUAUAUAAUUACGAAGAGUCCGUUCUUAUUAUUGUAUUUUGGUUUUCAGGACUCUGAUGUAGAUUAUUUACUUUGUGCCAAGUUCCUUAUUUACUAGAGAACUCACUCCACAAGUGGUAAGCGCAUAAUUUGUAGUUUUUGUAUUAUUUUAUACUAUAGAAAUGAUAGUUAGUCAUGGAUUAUUUCCAUUGGCGAUUUGCGCGUUUUUAGCAAAUCAGUGGUAGAAUUUAUAUGUCGGUAUUCAGACAUAGUAAAUACUUUUUGAAUGUUGUAAUAUUUAUUAAGUUUAAUUGUAAACUUUCAUGUACUUGCGAGAAGUAAUUUUAAGAUACAUUUAAUAUAUUUGAUUGUAAACGCAAUAAAACUGGUUACCGUUAUAAUUAAAUGUCGGUCAGAGAAACCGGUUUGUUAAAGUACAUGUGACAUGUGAUGUACAUUUCACUACACGAUUGAAUGAAUGAACAUUCCAUAGUAAAUGUGUAUCUACUGUUUAUAGUAACACUAUUAUAUUAGGAAUCGUUUGAACUGUAUUAAAAUUGUCUGUGAUAUAAUAUGUGUAUAAUAUAUUCUAUAUGUUACAUGAACUAUCAUUAAUGUUUAUAAUCUUGUUAUUUCAGAGUUUUUAUUCUCUGGUAAUAAAACCAUCCGAACCUUAGAAAGUCUUCUAGUUAUUAAUUUAUACCGGAAGAGACCCCUUUCACAUUUGGCGCCCACGAAGUAUUAUGGAAUGAUGUGGCACAGAGAGAUCCGUCAGAAGUCCGAUGUUCCAGAAUUAUUGUCUUUCUACCCGUAGAUGUUGAUGUUUACCAAUAGUGAUGUCAUACAUAUUUUCCAGAUCACGUGCACGUGUUGAUGUUUACCUCCGUUAGCCAUGUGGAUGUCCACGUGUAUUUGUUUACAUACAUGUAUACCGUAUAACCGACUUAGAAGAUUGUUGUACCGGAAGUUACUUUAUUGUAACUUAGACUUUUUAGUUUUCAAUAUUUGAAAACUUGACAUUUG